GACGGAGGAUGCAAGCGUUAUCCGGAAUUAUUGGGCGUAAAGCGUACGCAGGUGGCAUAUCAAGUCCUUUGUUAAAGCGCGAGGCUCAACCUCGUAAAGGCAGAGGAAACUGGUAAGCUAGAGUAUGGUGGGGGCAGGAGGAAUUCCCAGUGUAGCGGUGAAAUGCGUAGAUAUUGGGAAGAACACCAGCGGCGAAAGCGUCCUGCCAAGCCAAAACUGACACUCAUGUACGAAAGCUAGGGGAGCGAAUGGG
Molecule: ribosomal RNA, 253 nt
Filed under: uncultured bacterium
Lineage: Bacteria
Description: partial 16S ribosomal RNA
Rfam family: Bacterial small subunit ribosomal RNA
Source: RNAcentral